Mesocricetus auratus (golden hamster) is the source of this 1139-nucleotide long non-coding RNA. RefSeq lists it as uncharacterized. The transcript has 3 exons. Lineage: Eukaryota; Metazoa; Chordata; Mammalia; Rodentia; Cricetidae. The record is from RefSeq and is a predicted model, not a curated record.
CUCGCGCACCUCCAGGUGGGGCACCCCCUUCCUAAGCCCUCGGCCCCUCCCGCCAACGGUCACCGGGGGAUCCUGGCACAGACCCGGAGAGGGAGCCCACAGCUGUGGGGGGGGCUGCCACUGCUGCUGCUGCUGCCGCCGCCGCCGCUGCCGCCGCCAUUGGACAAACCUCACCAGUACCUACAGUGAGAAACACCAAGGAUCACAGCACAACCUGAAUGGCAAGAAACACGCUCCAUACCCCCUCGAUUUUCCAACUAUUUCCCUACUUCCCCUGGGACACAGCCGUUACUUCCUGUCUGGCCCCAGAGACUUUGGCCUGCCUGACUUACCCACACAGCAAUUCUGUACUACGUUCUCUGGACCCCAAGUCUCCCUAAAUUGAGUGACAAACUGGCAUCCCUGGCCUUCCUGAGAUCCCCUAUUGGGCCCUUUGAACUCCCUUGUCCCACACAUCCCAUCCUGCCCCCCCAGCCAUGUCCCACGCCUUGCCUGGUGGGUGCAGGGGUCCCCUCAGCAGGUAGGCUGUGGCUGGGGGGCAUCUCCCGGGAUAGGAGGGACGGCCCCCCCCAGAUGGGUCUGCAUGUGGCCGGCCAGCUGGGCAGGGGUCUUGCAGUGCACGCUGCACAGCUUGCACAGGAUGCGGUCAGCCCGCGGGGCCUGGAGCCCAUGGUCCUUCACCGCGUGGAUGCGCAGGGCGUGUGCGUGUACACCCGUGCUGAUGUACUCGACUUGCCCCGGGAGCUGGAGACAAGAACUUGUGGCUGCAAAGUUGAAACCCUGGGGACUGGCUUUCUUGAGUCUUCCUCUCACAAAGCACCCACGUCCUACUUCAUUCUCCCCAACUCUGGUAGACUGUCCCCUCUGAGCCAUGGCACAGAAUUUAGUGUUCAGUUACUUCCAAUGCUCUUGUGCUUGCUUCUUAAAGGGCUCUCUACAUGCCACGAGCUCUUGGCUACAGCACCCUUAACCCACACCCGUGAAACACCACCCACUCCCACUUUGUCCCUGCCCUCUGGCAUCCCUUAGCAUGUACCUUUGUUGCAGAGCUCACAGACAUGGUGAGGGCCCUGGCUGUGCACCUUCAUGUGGUCCGAAAUAUAAGCCGAGCUCAGCAUCUUGCCACACACAUGACAUGG